Chlorocebus sabaeus (green monkey) is the source of this 1752-nucleotide non-coding RNA. NCBI's taxonomy places the organism in Eukaryota, Metazoa, Chordata, Mammalia, Primates, Cercopithecidae. The record is from RefSeq and is a predicted model, not a curated record.
UGGGACUGAAACAGGUGAAUGAAACUUCACACAACCACUGUUUUGUCCCCGGUGGAUUCCUAGGGAGUAUCUCAGUGCCUUGCACUCAAUACUGUUUAUUGAGUAAAGGAAUCAAUGAGUACAAACAUGUUCUUAUGAAAGCAAUCACCCAUAAGGCUACACACAUCUCUAAUUCUCAUUUGGUUUUAACUUCCCCAUUGCAAUUAAAAGUCUACCUUCAUUUACAUGCAUAUCAACCAACAUCCCCCAACAAAAAAAAGAAAGUUGCAUGAAAAAAAAAUAGAAAAGCUAUGAAUUUCCACCAUGUCCCAGAUUUUCCAAAUAAUCCUGCCGUUCGGAAGCCUGUUCAUAGACCCCCAAAGUACUGAAAGGCCUUGCAAAAUGCUCAUAGGUGAAACAGCGGAAAGCAUCUAGAGCCAUCUCAGAGGGAGCCUUCUGCUUCCAGAAAUAAAGUCACACAUUCACAGGUGCUUCCUGUUUUUUCAAACACCUUGCCCACCUUCUGCACACCAAGCGUGGAUUCUGCAAAACGUGAGCCCAACAGGAAGCUGUCUGCAAUUUCAGGUAGCUUUUCUGACUCUUAAAGAGAUCUCAAGUAUACUUUCAGAGAAAUGCCAGCAAAAACUGAAGUCAUUCGGGAAGGAGUAAGUCUGGAAGAAAAAGAUACAGUGAACUAGCACAACGAGGAGUUUGAAAAGUUCAUGACAGCUCACAGCUCACGAUGGUGGCGAUCUUAAGGAUACAGAAAGCUCAUUCCUCAUGCAGGGAAGAAGAAAAUAUUCUAAAGAAGAGAUAAGCAUAUUCCGCGAAAUCAAAAAAGGCUAGAAGCUCAGCAACUGCUAACAGCCAGCUGGAGGGAGAAAGUCCCUGACGUACAAUGGUUUGACUUGUGAUUUUUCAGCUUUGCCGUGAGUUUAAUGGGACAUAACCCCAUUGUAGAUUGAGGAACAUCUGUACUUAUGAAACACCUCCACCUCUACACAAUUUGUUGUUGGUGGUAGCAGUAGUGGGGGCAUGUUAUGGGGGUGAUUCUUGACAGCUCACUGAUAUCUAUAUGAAGGGGUGGAUAGAAUGAUAAAUGGUAGGUGUGAUGUGUUGAUGGGACAAAGGGCCAAAAAGUUCAGCAGAGAGGUUGGGAAGAGAAGUGUCAUGAAAGGUGACAGAAAGCUCCACAUGCCAGCUUAUUCCCUGGGCUAAAAACCAUUAAUGACUUUCCCUCUGUCCUCUCAGCUUGUGUAAAAUACCUAAGAAAUAAAAUCAAGGUUCCUCUUUUGAAAUUAUUGUGCUAAACUCUUGAGUCAGCAAUGCUGUAUGAAUUUGCAUCUCUACUUUUGCAAGAACUAUUUAUUUAGAGAGCACUAUCUUGUGAAGAUGUUUUGUGGGAUGUAUGACCAUCAAGAUCAAGUCACUGUAAUCCUGAUGAUAACCAGUCAGGGGUAUGAAAGUGGGAAGGUUGGCCCCUAGGUGUAUUCUGACUGCUCAAAUCAGUCCUGUAAAAUUGAAACUAACCUACCUGAGCCAGCUCCUAUCCACCUGAUAGGAUACAAAGACGACUCACGGGCCUGUGGGUUCUUACGUACAAGCUGCUGUUUUUCCCCUCUACUGAUCGUGGGAAUUUCCAGCUCAGGAGUUGUGUUGGCAUGCUGUCCUGGACAGAGUGAAAGCAGGAGGACCUGGCCACACAUGUGCUUAGAUACUGCUUUCCUUUGUCCAGUGAGAGGUUGGAAAGGUGCUUACAGAAUCACAAAAAUA